This 3337-nucleotide long non-coding RNA is filed under the name Malus domestica (apple). RNAcentral describes it as "long non-coding RNA (MDOM_LNC010376)". Lineage: Eukaryota; Viridiplantae; Streptophyta; Magnoliopsida; Rosales; Rosaceae. The record is from RNAcentral.
CAUAAGAGUGAAGGGUAGUGAACUUGGCUUAAUUGCAAGUUUGCCACUCAAAUGUGAGGUGGUAUAAAUGCAUCUUUAUAGCCAUUUCAUCAUUAGGGUUUUCUUUGAGGAAAUUGGAGAGAACACAAGCUCUCCUUUUCUCUCUAAGAGGCCGCCACCCUAGGGAGAAAUUACUAGCAUCUAUUUCUUCCUAGGUCAAUCAUCUCUUCCUCAAUGCUCUCCUUGGUGUGGAGACUUAGAGGUUCCCUAUUUUGGGAACUUGGAGAAUCCAUUCUUUCAUCCAUCCAAGAAGUCAUGGAGCCAAGAAGCAAAGUUCCUUCAUCCACAUCCAUGGAGUCAAGGAGUAAGGAGACUAAGGAAAGAAGGCCCUCACAUGGGUAAAUAUCCUUUGCCAAGCAAAUAGGCACUUCAAAGUUAUAAAAGUUUCUCAACUCCUUUCUUUAAGAUUUGAGUUGAGUCUUGGUUCACCACAAUUACUAGGCCUUAAAUUUCAUGAGUAAAGUUUUGUUUUAGAGUGCAUACAAGCAUGAAUCCGCCUUUUAAUUGUUAAUUGCAUGCAUAGAUGUUGUUCAAAUGAACUAGUUUUUACAAAUAUUUCACUUCAUGCUUGGCAUUCUCAUAUGGACUAUAUAGUUAUAUUAGGUCUUAAGAUGAUUAUGAACCAUUUGAAUUGAUCCAACACAAGCCUUGUGUUGGACCUUUGGUUUAGGGAGGGUAGUUGAUUUUAAUUACACGUUUAAUUCAAGUACACCGUUAUUUCAUAUUGGGCGUUGGACCGAACUAUUCCAAUUUGCAUACAAAUAAACAAUAAAGGAAUAUAUGGAAUAAAGAGAAGGGCUUAUGCCUUUUUAGAUCACAUUUGAUCUAAUCAAAUUACAUUCAAAUCUAAUCUACACAUCUCAUUCAUUCAUAAUGUAAAGCGCCAAAUCACAUAACUCAAUUAUCGUAGGUCUUUGGUUCAUAAUCAUCCCGUAUCAAAACUAAUUACAUUAACUAAGAAUCAACUUAAACAAUUGGUUCUUAAAUCUAUAGAGUUUAUUUAAAUGGAGCUAAAUGAAAUGAAAAUCAAAUUCUCAUUAAAGAGACAAAAAUAUUUUGUGCUCUAGCUAAUUUGGGCCUAAAUGUAAUAACCUCAACUAUUGGGCAUUAUGCAAAAUACCAACUUUUGGGGUCACUUUGUAAAACACAAGAGUCCACAACUUCAUGUAAUUACAAUUAGAACCCAAAAAUUUCAAUAGUUACCAAACCUCCAUUAAAGGAACAAAACAAUUUGUCCUUUAGUGAUUUUAGGCCUUUAUGUAAAAACAUAGAAUUUUGGGUCAAAAUGCAAAUACACAAAAGUAUCAAAACAUUAUAUAAUUGCAAAAAAAAUCCAAAAGUACCCUACUUUGUAAGGUGGCCCAAUUUUGGGUAGUGUAAAGGAGGGGUUGGCUAUUGGUGAAAAUUCAAAAUUUUAAAGUGUGUUGAAAAUGUGAUAGGUAUGGUGUUGAUUGAAAAGUACAAAUCAAGUCACACCAACCAUGACAAACAAUACUUUAGGUAAACAACCAAAAGCUUUAAAUCAAAACACUAAACUUUUGGUUCUUGGUAUGAACAUCAAGAACAAAGUAAGGAUAUUGAAGAACGUCCAUGAAAACCAGAAUAGCUCCAUGAAUGCUUUCACUCAACAAAACUCAAAAUUACACUACUCAAAAGAGGGUUAACAUACUAGGUUACUUAGGGGUUCCUAAUGUCACUUUAAAACUCUUUUAGUAAGACAAACAUGAACCCAAAAAUCCACACAUGGAUUUGGUCGAACUUCCCCAUAAACAAGAUACCCAAUUUUAGCUCCAAAAUUCAUGCUUAAAUGAACUACAUCUACAACUUUUGAGAUGACAAAUUUUCAAACAAAAUUUACAUUCAAAGAAGCAAGAACAAAAUUUGUAACAAUUACAACAUUCAAAUCAUAAACUAUGAAAAUACAAAAUAUAAAUGGAUUCACCAAACCCUAGAUCUAGGCCUCUAAUACCACUUGAAGACAAAUUAUUGACUAUGUAGAGAUUGUUGUAGCAACACAUGCAUUUAUUAACAAUUAAAAUUAAAGCAUGAACUCAAUAACAAAUUUGAGUCCCAUGAAAUUCAAGACCUAGUGAAUGGUAAAGAACCAAGACUCUUUCCAUAAAAGGAAAGAAGAAAGAUUGAGCAUUCAUACCCUUGAAGCUCUUCCUUCUUUUCAGAAGGUUAUCACCCAUGUGAAGGUUUUCAUUCCUCUUCAUAUGCUCCAUGGAUUUGGCUCCUAGAAUCCUUGGAACUUUGCUUCUUGCUUGCUCCUUUGCUUCUCGAAGAUUUAGUGAAAGGAUUUUCCAAGCACUAAAAAGAUGGAUUGGGUAACCAUGACAUACUGCUAGGUGUUACUCAUGUUUUGUGGAAGCCUUGAAGAUUAACAAUCACUAAUCUUCAUCACAUGGAGAAUUGAAAUUAAGUUUCAAUUCACAAUCGAUUAGUAAGAGUACAAUCAUCCACUGCCUCGCUAAUUGGAACCUAACAGAUCGUACACCGUGUAUGAGUGUGAAGAACUAUUAAUGAGAUGGAUAAGUUAAUUUAAAUAGUUUAAUUGAUAAUAGUCAAUAUUGAUUAAAUAGUUAAUUAAUCAUACGAAAGGUUCAUAUUAGGUUUUAAAUUAGUUUCAGCUUUCGAGGCCCAGUGGGCUUUGGUCCAAAGGCCCAUUAGGCUUAAGUUGUAUGACAACUUAAACAAAAUGGGGCAAACAACCCAAUGACUAUAGGGAGCCAUCCUUGGAAGGCUUUGUACUUAAUUUCACUUAUACCAUUCAUUUGUGAGGUGGUAUAAAAGUGACUUUAUAGACAAAAACUCAUUAGGGUUCUUUGAGGGCAAAAUUUGGAGGCAGUUUCUCUCUUCUUUCUCUCUUAAAUAGUCGGCCCUAUAGGGGAGUUUUUUCUAGUAUCUAAAGCUUCCCUUGAGUCUUCCAUCUUGUCUUCACAUAUCUACCUUGGUGUGGACCUCGAAAGCUGCUAAGGUCGCCAAAAAUUAGGUAAGAUUCAAAUGGAUAUAACUUAUUCAAUACUCAACAAAAUUGGGUGAAACAAAAGAAAAGUUGUAGUACUCAGCAAGACGAAGAGAUUGAUAUCUAGCACACCGGCCAACUCACCGUGGUUUGGCUGGAAAUUAGCUCGAAAGCCGUCAGACUCGCUGGUAAAACUGGGAAAACACCACCAAGUUGUUUCUUACUACAAACCUUCACCAAAACACCUAAAAUGAGUCAUUCCUAGGGUUUGAACAAUCUAAGAGAAAGAUUAGAGAGGGUUCCGAAGCUUAUUAAGGUCGAGGGAUGAAAAAU